CUGAAAGACUGAGGGUAGU
This 19-nucleotide non-coding RNA is filed under the name Arabidopsis thaliana (thale cress). The record is from RNAcentral. Lineage: Eukaryota; Viridiplantae; Streptophyta; Magnoliopsida; Brassicales; Brassicaceae.